GAACGCUGGCGGCGUGCUUAACACAUGCAAGUCGAACGGAAAGGCCCUGCUUUUGUGGGGUGCUCGAGUGGCGAACGGGUGAGUAACACGUGAGUAACCUGCCCUUGACUUUGGGAUAACUUCAGGAAACUGGGGCUAAUACCGGAUAGGAGCUCCUGCUGCAUGGUGGGGGUUGGAAAGUUUCGGCGGUUGGGGAUGGACUCGCGGCUUAUCAGCUUGUUGGUGGGGUAGUGGCUUACCAAGGCUUUGACGGGUAGCCGGCCUGAGAGGGUGACCGGCCACAUUGGGACUGAGAGACGGCCCAGACUCCUACGGGAGGCAGCAGUGGGGAAUAUUGCACAAUGGGCGGAAGCCUGAUGCAGCAACGCCGCGUGCGGGAUGACGGCCUUCGGGUUGUAAACCGCUUUCGCCUGUGACGAAGCGGGAGUGACGGUAAUGGGUAAAGAAGCACCGGCUAACUACGUG
This 465-nucleotide ribosomal RNA is filed under the name uncultured bacterium. RNAcentral describes it as "partial 16S ribosomal RNA". It matches the Rfam family "Bacterial small subunit ribosomal RNA", at positions 31 to 507 of the family's 1533-position model. The record is from RNAcentral.